This 520-nucleotide ribosomal RNA is filed under the name uncultured bacterium. RNAcentral's name for it is "bacterial SSU rRNA". It matches the Rfam family "Bacterial small subunit ribosomal RNA", at positions 777 to 1297 of the family's 1533-position model. The record is from RNAcentral.
AAUAGAUACCCAGGUAGUCCACGCCGUAAACGAUGAGUGCUAAGUGUUAGAGGGUUUCCGCCCUUUAGUGCUGAAGUUAACGCAUUAAGCACUCCGCCUGGGGAGUACGGCCGCAAGGCUGAAACUCAAAGGAAUUGACGGGGGCCCGCACAAGCGGUGGAGCAUGUGGUUUAAUUCGAAGCAACGCGAAGAACCUUACCAGGUCUUGACAUCCUCUGACAACCCUAGAGAUAGGGCUUCUCCUUCGGGAGCAGAGUGACAAGUGGUGCAUGGUUGUCGUCAGCUCGUGUCGUGAGAUGUUGGGUUAAGUCCCGCAACGAGCGCAACCCUUGAUCUUAGUUGCCAUCAUUAAGUUGGGCACUCUAAGGUGACUGCCGGUGACAAACCGGAGGAAGGUGGGGAUGACGUCAAAUCAUCAUGCCCCUUAUGACCUGGGCUACACACGUGCUACAAUGGACGGUACAAAGAGCUGCAAGACCGCGAGGUGGAGCUAAUCUCAUAAAACCGUUCUCAGUUCGGA